RNAcentral lists this long non-coding RNA (682 nucleotides) under Anas platyrhynchos platyrhynchos (common mallard). RNAcentral's name for it is "lncRNA (ENSAPLG00000017942.1)". The record is from RNAcentral. Lineage: Eukaryota; Metazoa; Chordata; Aves; Anseriformes; Anatidae.
GGGGGGGCCUACAUUUUCCUGGAUUAUCUUGUGAUCUUGGGGCAAAAAGUGACCUUCCUCCAUUUCUCCACAUUUUGUUUGGAUGCCAAUCUGCAACCAGCACCUGUGUUUGCCACCACAAGGCCUGAUGCUGCCUUUCACCAUCAUCUGGGGAGGCCUGUGAAGCAGUUACCACCUCUCAGCUGGGUUUCAGUAAUGACCUGUAAGAGGGUAUAAAUGAAGUCAUGUGGAUCACCUUGCCUCUUUCAGUGAGCAUAGUGCAGGCAGUUACUGAGCACCUGCUUUGUGGGAGAAAGUUAUGCUUGCUCUUAGUCUGUGUUCCCCAUCAUUCAGAAGUCACAACAAGCACAAACUUCAGCGGAAGUCAUUUGAGCCUUGCUCUAAGCGUGCUGACUGUGAACAGCAGUGAAAGAAAGAAACCUUUGGAAAAAGACUUUCGGGAAAGUAUUUAUCUUAUAAGAACUGCAAUUUUGCUGUCCUUGGAGAUCAGAAAGAAACAUGCAUGGUAAACUACAAAGGAAGAUGAAAAGACUUGUUUGGUCUUCCAGAGGUUGGACUCACAGCUUGAGGUAGUAGAAAUGUCCAGACAACAAUUAAAAGGUUUUGUCAGGAGAUUAUGCUGGAGGGGAGGACUUCGUAGAAACAUAAUAAAUAUUUUUGUAAGGGAAAAUUGAUGUGGGCA